UGGCGAACGGGUGAGUAACACGUGAGUAACCUGCCCCUGACUCUGGGAUAACUGCUGGAAACGGUGGCUAAUACUGGAUAUGAGAUUCUGCCGCAUGGUGGGGUUUGGAAAGAUUUUUCGGUCAGGGAUGGACUCGCGGCCUAUCAGCUUGUUGGUGGGGUGAUGGCUCACCAAGGCGACGACGGGUAGCCGGCCUGAGAGGGCGACCGGCCACACUGGGACUGAGACACGGCCCAGACUCCUACGGGAGGCAGCAGUGGGGAAUAUUGCACAAUGGGCGAAAGCCUGAUGCAGCGACGCCGCGUGAGGGAUGAAGGCCUUCGGGUUGUAAACCUCUUUCAGCAGGGAAGAAGCGCAAGUGACGGUACCUGCAGAAGAAGCGCCGGCUAACUACGUGCCAGCAGCCGCGGUAAUACGUAGGGCGCAAGCGUUGUCCGGAAUUAUUGGGCGUAAAGAGCUCGUAGGCGGUUUGUCGCGUCUGCUGUGAAAACUUCAGGCUCAACCUGGGGCUUGCAGUGGGUAC
RNAcentral lists this ribosomal RNA (523 nucleotides) under uncultured Cellulomonas sp. RNAcentral's name for it is "bacterial SSU rRNA". It matches the Rfam family "Bacterial small subunit ribosomal RNA", at positions 96 to 633 of the family's 1533-position model. Lineage: Bacteria; Bacillati; Actinomycetota; Actinomycetes; Micrococcales; Cellulomonadaceae. The record is from RNAcentral.